This 465-nucleotide ribosomal RNA is filed under the name uncultured bacterium. RNAcentral's name for it is "partial 16S ribosomal RNA". It matches the Rfam family "Bacterial small subunit ribosomal RNA", at positions 339 to 795 of the family's 1533-position model. The record is from RNAcentral.
CUACGGGACGCUGCAGUGAGGAAUUUUGCGCAAUGGGGGGAACCCUGACGCAGCAACGCCGCGUGAGUGAAGAAGGCCUUUGGGUCGUAAAGCUCUGUCAACUGGGAAGAAAUUAGAGUUGUUUAACAGAUGAUUCUAUUGACGGUACCAGUGGAGGAAGCGCCGGCUAACUCCGUGCCAGCAGCCGCGGUAACACGGGGGGCGCAAGCGUUAUUCGGAAUUAUUGGGCGUAAAGGGCGCGCAGGCGGUCUUGUCGGUCAGGUGUGAAAGCCCGGGGCUCAACCCUGGAAGUGCACUUGAAACAGCAAGACUUGAGUACGGGAGAGGAAAGCGGAAUUCCUGGUGUAGAGGUGAAAUUCGUAGAUAUCAGGAGGAACACCGAUGGCGAAGGCAGCUUUCUGGACCGAUACUGACGCUGAGGCGCGAAGGCGUGGGUAGCGAACGGGAUUAGAUACCCCGGUAGUC